UAUUAUAUAGUCCCCUAUUCCCUAUGUAGUCCACUAUUAUAUAGUCCCCUAUUCCCUAUGUAGUCCACUAUUAUAUAGUCCCCUAUUCCCUAUGUAGUCCACUAUUAUAUAGUCCCCUAUUCCCUAUGUAGUCCACUAUUAUAUAGUCCCCUGUAUAGGGACUAGUGUGUCGUUAGGGACUCAGUCUGGGUAUGGUAUUUAACAACGGCUUCUCCAGGCAUGCUGACUCAUCAGAACUAUACUAGACGUCUUCAUGUGAGGAACAUUAUGCAUUCUGUUUAGAUGAGCAGGACACCAGGUGAAACAUUAUGUUUAGAUGAGCAGGAUACCAGGUGAAACAUUGUGUUUAGAUGAGCAGGAUACCAGGUGAAACAUUGUGUUUAGAUGACCAGGAUACCAGGUGAAACAUUCUGUUUAGAUGAGCAGGAUACCAGGUGAAACAUUAUGUUUAGAUGACCAGGAUACCAGGUGAAACAUGUUUAGAUGACCAGGAUACCAGGUGAAACAUGUUUAGAUGAGCAGGAUACCAGGUGAAACAUGUUUAGAUGACCAGGAUACCAGGUGAAACAUGUUUAGAUGACCAGGAUACCAGGUGAAACAUUGUGUUUAGAUGACCAGGAUACCAGGUGAAACAUUCUGUUUAGAUGAGCAGGAUACCAGGUGAAACAUUAUGUUUAGAUGACCAGGAUACCAGGUGAAACAUGUUUAGAUGACCAGGAUACCAGGUGAAACAUGUUUAGAUGACCAGGAUACCAGGUGAAACAUGUUUAGAUGACCAGGAUACCAGGUGAAACAUUGUGUUUAGAUGAGCAGGAUACCAGGUGAAACAUUGUGUUUAGAUGAGCAGGAUACCAGGUGAAACAUUGUGUUUAGAUGAGCAGGAUACCAGGUGAAACAUUGUGUUUAGAUGAGCAGGAUACCAGGUGAAACAUUUGCCUGAAGACUCCAACUGAAUUCUCCCUCUAUGUUCUCUACAUACUUCAGUCUGAGACUGCCGUCUUGACACGUUUUCAAAACGCCGUUUUACCCACGUGUGUUCUGGCUCUGGGCCCAACCCAUCGGUUUCUGGACCAAUCAGUACAAUUAGAAUGUUUUUCCAUUCUAGAACUUGUCGGAGAGGGAGUCCGACCCAGACGAUGAGUCUGAGUAGCCAGACAACUGGAAAAGGAUACGUGUUCCAUGUGGAUUAAUACAGGUAUACACACACGCUCUCUCACUGGACAGUUUAUUAGGCACACCCAUCUAGUACUGGGUCAGACCCCCGCCCGACCCCACUUUGCCUCCAGAACAGCCUGAAUUCUUCGGGGGGAUUCUACAAGGUGUCGGAGACGUUCCGCAGAGAUGUUGGUCCAUUCUGACAUGAUGGCAGCACGCAGUUUGCUGCAGAUGGGACGGCGACACCUAUUCCAUUUCAUCCCGAAGAUGCUCCGUUGGGUUGAGGUCUAGUUCUGCACACCACCGAGGUACUGCGCUGUUAUUUUUCCUGUUUUGUUCGCAUGCACGAUUCUUUCCCUUGUCCUAGGACGAGCUGUUUUCACCCACAGGACUGCCGCUGACUGGAUAUUUGUCGAGACGUUUUUCGAUAAACCCUAGACACUGUCGUGCGUGAAACGCCCGGUUAAGGCGGCCGAUGAUCGUACCACGCUCAAAGGGUCGCUUAGGUCAAUAGUUUUUGUCCCGUCUAACGUUCGAUGGAACAGUAACUGAAUGCCUGUCUGCCUGCUUUAUAUAACAAGCCACGGUCACGUGACUCACUGUCUGUAGGAGGGAACCAUUUUUUUUGUGAAUGUGGGUGGUGUACCUAAUAAACUGUCCAGUGAGGGUUUACCUCAUCCCAUUAGUGAGUACAGUAAACACAUGUUAUAUAUGUGUGUAUUUUACUCCUGUUAUUCGGUUGACCAGGCUGUGCUGUAAGGUCAAAUGUGGACGUGUGCGGACCAUGCGCAGUGAUGAAGUUUCCCCUAGGUAAAGAUCUAGGGUCAGUCUAGGUUUAGAUCUAGGGUCAGUCUAGGUACAGAUCUAGGGUCAGUUUCCCCUAGAUUCAGAUUUCCGGUCAGUCUAGGGUCAGUUUCCCCUAGGUAAAGAUCUAGGAUCAGUUUCCCCUAGGUAAAGAUCUAGGGUCAGAUCUAGGAUCAGUUUCCCCUAGGUUCAGAUCUAGGGUCAGUCUAGGUACAGAUCUAGGGUCAGUUUCCCCUAGGUAAAGAUCUAGGAUCAGUUUCCCCUAGGUAAAGAUCUAGGGUCAGAUCUAGGAUCAGUUUCCCCUAGGUUCAGAUCUAGGGUCUGUCUAGGUACAGAUCUUGGGUCAGUUUCCCCUAGGUAAAGAUCUAGGGUCAGUCUAGGAUCAGUUUCCCCUAGGUACAGACCUAGGAUCAGUUUUCCCUAGGUACAGACCUAGGAUCAGUUUCCCCUAGGUACAGACCUAGGAUCAGUUUCCCCUGGGUACAGAUCUUGGGUCAGCUUCCGCUUUCCCAAAACCUGAACCUUAACCAUUAUUGGGGAAAAUGCUGAACUGACCCAAGAUCAGCAUCUAGGGGCAACUUCGCCCUGCUCUGUGAAGCUCCUGUGUUUUAACCCCUGUGCUGUCACAAAGGAGGGCGAUCGCUGUGAUUCUCUUGGCACUCUACUGUGUGUGUGUGUGUGUGUGUGUGUGUGUGCAGACAGUAUUCACACUCCUUGACUUUUCCCAAAUGUAGUUGUGUUACAGCCUGAAUUUUUAAAAUGUAUUAAAUGUAGAUGUUGUGUCUCCGGCCUCUACACACACUAUCCCAUAAUGUCAGAGUGGAAUUAUGUUUUUAGACAUUUUUACAAUCUAAUUAAAAAUGUAAAAUCUGA
Molecule: long non-coding RNA, 2832 nt
Organism: Oncorhynchus gorbuscha (pink salmon)
Lineage: Eukaryota; Metazoa; Chordata; Actinopteri; Salmoniformes; Salmonidae
Exons: 2
Source: RefSeq, a predicted model, not a curated record